Physeter macrocephalus (sperm whale) is the source of this 472-nucleotide long non-coding RNA. RefSeq lists it as uncharacterized. The record is from RefSeq and is a predicted model, not a curated record. NCBI's taxonomy places the organism in Eukaryota, Metazoa, Chordata, Mammalia, Artiodactyla, Physeteridae. The transcript has 2 exons.
GCCUGCGGCAAAUCGUUGCGUGACGCUGUACCUUCGUUGAACAAUUAUUUAAUGAGCGUGUGUGAUGUGCUAAGCACUGUGAAGAUGCUGUGGCUUCUGGGAUGGCUGGACUUCCCUGGUGGCGCAGUGUUUAAGAAUCCGCCUGCCAAGACAGGGAACAUGGGUUCGAGCCCUGGUCCAGGAAGAUCUCACAUGCCUUGGAGCAACUAAGCCCAUGUACCACAACUACUGAGUCUGCACUCUAGAGCCUGCGAGCCACAAUUACUGAGCCCACGUGCCACAACUACUGAAGCCCGCGUGCCUAUAGCCCGUGCUCCGCAACAAGAGAAGCCACCACAAUGAGAGGCCCGCGCACCGCAACGAAGAGUAGCCCCUGCUCACUGCAACUAGAGAAAGCCCGUGCACAGUAACGAAGACCCAACACAGCCAAAAAUAAAUAAAUAAAAAAUAAAUUAAUUUUUAAAAAAUCUUA